This 480-nucleotide ribosomal RNA is filed under the name uncultured Rhodoferax sp. Its description in RNAcentral is "bacterial SSU rRNA". It matches the Rfam family "Bacterial small subunit ribosomal RNA", at positions 900 to 1382 of the family's 1533-position model. The record is from RNAcentral. Lineage: Bacteria; Pseudomonadati; Pseudomonadota; Betaproteobacteria; Burkholderiales; Comamonadaceae.
CUUAAAUGAAUUGACGGGACCCGCACAAGCGGUGGAUGAUGUGGUUUAAUUCGAUGCAACGCGAAAACCUUACCCACCUUUGACAUGUACGGAACCCUUUAGAGAUAGAGGGGUGCUCGAAAGAGAGCCGUAACACAGGUGCUGCAUGGCUGUCGUCAGCUCGUGUCGUGAGAUGUUGGGUUAAGUCCCGCAACGAGCGCAACCCUUGUCAUUAGUUGCUACAUUCAGUUGGGCACUCUAAUGAGACUGCCGGUGACAAGCCGGAGGAAGGUGGGGAUGACGUCAAGUCCUCAUGGCCCUUAUAGGUGGGGCUACACACGUCAUACAAUGGCUGGUACAAAGGGUUGCCAACCCGCGAGGGGGAGCCAAUCCCAUAAAGCCAGUCGUAGUCCGGAUCGUAGUCUGCAACUCGACUACGUGAAGUCGGAAUCGCUAGUAAUCGUGGAUCAGAAUGUCACGGUGAAUACGUUCCCGGGUCUU